Molecule: long non-coding RNA, 500 nt
Organism: Anguilla anguilla (European eel)
Lineage: Eukaryota; Metazoa; Chordata; Actinopteri; Anguilliformes; Anguillidae
Exons: 4
Source: RefSeq, a predicted model, not a curated record
GCGUUCCCGGAAGAGGGAGCACAGAGAACUCUUACUAGGCCAGUGUGUCACAGACAGGAGAUUACAGCUGCACGGACAUAUUUGGAAACUUGUUCUAUAACAAGUCUGGAUCACGUUGUGUAACUAAGGUACAAUUACAUAGCCUGUAAUAUCUAUCAUCUGAAAACACCCCUCAAGGAGUUAAAAAGUGGUCAGGCAGCAGAACUCACAGCUGCUAAAGGAGACGUCAUCAGACCGUCCUAUAUGCUGCCCUUCCAUCACAGCGGCACAUUCAUCCUCUCAGGAAUGCUCACAAAAUGGAGGUGUGAAGCUCACAGCCUGGCCAAAGCCUGGGAGCUAAGCCUGCCAACGACAAGUAGGCUACAUACCCCCCCAUCCAUCACAUGUGCCCAUCCAUGUCCUUCAAGACAUUACAGCACCGCUCACCGGGGACCAGACCCGACCGGGACGCCGACCGGGACGCCGACCGGAGCAGCUGACCAACGCCACCUACCUGAGAA